GGUGACCUGCGGAGGGAUCAUUACCAGUGACCCCCGGCUUCGGCCGGGGAUGAUCAUAACCCUUUGCUGUCCGACUCUGUUGCCUCCGGGGCGACCCUGCCUCCGGGCGGGGGCCCCGGGUGGACACAUUCAAACUCUUGCGUAACUUUGCAGUCUGAGUAAAUUUAAUUAAUAAAUUAAAACUUUCAACAACGGAUCUCUUGGUUCUGGCAUCGAUGAAGAACGCAGCGAAAUGCGAUAAGUAAUGUGAAUUGCAGAAUUCAGUGAAUCAUCGAAUCUUUGAACGCACAUUGCGCCCCCUGGUAUUCCGGGGGGCAUGCCUGUUCGAGCGUCAUUUCACCACUCAAGCCUCGCUUGGUAUUGGGCGACGCGGUCCGCCGCGCGCCUCAAAUCGACCGGCUGGGUCUUCUGUCCCCUCAGCGUUGUGGAAACUAUUCGCUAAAGGGUGCCACGGGAGGUCACGCCGUAAAACAAGCCCAUUUCUAAGGUUGACCUCGGAUCAGGUAGGGAUACCCGCUGAACUUAAGCAUAUCAAUAAGCGGAGGAAAAGAAACCAACAGGGAUUGCUCUAGUAACGGCGAGUGAAGCAGCAAUAGCUCAAAUUUGA
This 607-nucleotide ribosomal RNA is filed under the name fungal endophyte. RNAcentral describes it as "eukaryotic LSU rRNA". The stretch from base 181 to 334 matches the Rfam family "5.8S ribosomal RNA". Lineage: Eukaryota; Fungi. The record is from RNAcentral.